Molecule: long non-coding RNA, 327 nt
Organism: Xiphophorus couchianus (Monterrey platyfish)
Lineage: Eukaryota; Metazoa; Chordata; Actinopteri; Cyprinodontiformes; Poeciliidae
Exons: 3
Source: RefSeq, a predicted model, not a curated record
UCAGCUACUUGCGUUUUGAGCAUUAUAUAACUAUUUUAACCCAAGGACUAUUACGCAUGGGAUUAGUUUGGCCCUUUGAAAUGAAGUUUAACAAAACUUCCAAAAUAAAAGCCUUGACAACAUUUUAAAUCGUACCGAAUGGUGCGCGUCCGCCUCGCUUAACGUUCUUGCGGUUCUCCGCGUGCCACUGAUUACGUUGCGGCGUUCUUUAGCGUCGACGCCGAUUUGUGGCGUGACGACGCCGGGCCCGAGCCCGACGGGCGCGCCUCGGCAGGCCCCGGCUAAAUUUCUUCCGAAAUUUUCUAGUUAUAAUUCAUUAUUUUUCAU